Molecule: ribosomal RNA, 224 nt
Filed under: uncultured bacterium
Lineage: Bacteria
Description: partial 16S ribosomal RNA
Rfam family: Bacterial small subunit ribosomal RNA
Source: RNAcentral
GAUGAACGCUAGCGACAGGCCUAACACAUGCAAGUCGAGGGGUAGCAUGAAAGUAGCAAUACUUUUGAUGACGACCGGCGCACGGGUGAGUAACGCGUAUGCAACCUACCUACUACAGGGGAAUAGCCCGAAGAAAUUCGGAUUAAUGCCGCAUAAUACAGGGGCACCGCAUGGUGAUAUUUGUUAAAGAUUAAUUGGUAGUAGAUGGGCAUGCGUUCCAUUAG